RNAcentral lists this transfer RNA (66 nucleotides) under Ochthebius salinarius. Its description in RNAcentral is "tRNA-Pro". The record is from RNAcentral. Lineage: Eukaryota; Metazoa; Arthropoda; Insecta; Coleoptera; Hydraenidae.
CAGAAAAUAGUUUAUUUAAAAUAUUAAUUUUGGAGAUUAAUGAUAUGGAAGUUUCCUUUUUUCUGA